ACUCCUACGGGAGGCAGCAGUGGGGAAUAUUGGACAAUGGGCGCAAGCCUGAUCCAGCCAUGCCGCGUGAGUGAUGAAGGCCCUAGGGUUGUAAAGCUCUUUCACCGGUGACGAUAAUGACGGUAACCGGAGAAGAAGCCCCGGCUAACUUCGUGCCAGCAGCCGCGGUAAUACA
Molecule: ribosomal RNA, 175 nt
Filed under: uncultured Alphaproteobacteria bacterium
Lineage: Bacteria; Pseudomonadati; Pseudomonadota; Alphaproteobacteria
Description: partial 16S ribosomal RNA
Rfam family: Bacterial small subunit ribosomal RNA
Source: RNAcentral